CGGCGCGCGCCUCAUAGGCUUCGCUUACGGCGCUCAACAAGAACACCAAGCGGCACCCCUCCUGGACAUUUAUGGAACGCCACUGCGCGCGGUCGCCGCGAUGGAGUCUCCCGAACCGGCUUCUUGCGUGAAAGAAAGAAGCGGAUUCAAAGGAAGAAUUGGAAGACCAGUGGGAGGCUCUGCUGGUGACCCAAGACCCUGACAACCAGCUACGGUUGGUGAACAGGGCUCGGGCGGCGGCAGCUAGCUUUGGCUACCUGGACUGAGGAGGCCACCCACCUUUGGGCUCAAG
This is a long non-coding RNA of Dermacentor albipictus, 292 nucleotides long. RefSeq lists it as uncharacterized. The record is from RefSeq and is a predicted model, not a curated record. NCBI's taxonomy places the organism in Eukaryota, Metazoa, Arthropoda, Arachnida, Ixodida, Ixodidae.